Miniopterus natalensis is the source of this 1868-nucleotide non-coding RNA. The record is from RefSeq and is a predicted model, not a curated record. Lineage: Eukaryota; Metazoa; Chordata; Mammalia; Chiroptera; Miniopteridae.
CCGCUCUGACUGCGCCCGCGGCGUCCCUGGGAGCGGUCGCCGCUCGCCGUCGCCCGCCCGCCGCCUCACGCGCGUCGCACACAAGCCUGAGGACACUUCUUAAAAGCGGACGCUGUCACUCCCGAUUCCAGGGCCCGCGUCCCAUCAGCGUCGAGCCAGGAUUGGAGCCCUGGCCUCCUGCCUCCUACCUGCCUGCAAAUCCCAUGUUCGGGAUUAGUGAACUGUGCUGCCUCCCCUCCCCGGGGCUGCCCCCCGCUGCCCACCUGCGCCUUGGGUUUGCGUUGUACCUGGUAUCGUAGCUCUUUCUGCUCUCACCCAGGAGGCGCCGGCCGUCAGCAUCCCGAGGACCCGCCCGCCCGGGCAGCUGUGUGGCCUCCCCUCUGUAGCUCAGUGAUCUGUGCCCAAAGCGCGUUUACGGGUUAAACUGGAUGAAAUUGAAAGCGCCUUAGAAACGGGCAAGGGAGUUGGGGUAUGGAGAAUGCCGCUGACAUGCCGCCGAGGUCAGAGACAAGGUACAGGAGCCUGUGGCCUGGCCAUGGGCGCCUCGUCCUGACAAUCCAGGCGACAAGCAACAAGGGCAAGGGCGCGGCCAGGGCCCGCGAGAGGGGCAUUGCCCGGCGAGGGGACAACCCUCACGCUGAAACUCACCCCCUUUCUCAUGACGAAGUAUCCUCAGGGCUCUAGCCGGGUAUAAAUACAGGGACCUAGCAGGGCAGGCUGGAUGGAGGGAAUCCACACAAAUCACUGACAGGGAAAUUCUCUCGUGAAUUUCUCGGGGUCGUCAGGAAACUGCACCUAAAGGAAAAGUCAGAAGUCUCUAGUCCUAACGGUCCUAGAAGAAAAGAAGGGAAUGGAAGAAGGAAUGGGGGUUGCCUGGUAAGGAGAAAAAAACCAAGACGGCUUAGGCUCGCCUGUGUAUUACAGGCUGCCUGGAACAUGGGAAUAACAGUUGCGAAGAUACAGAUCCGUGUUGUGGACAAUAGGGGGACGGUGGGUGCAAGGACAGUUUUUCUGCUACAAGACACCUUUAUGACUUGAAAGUUCCUUUACAGAUCAGAAUGUAGCCAUAUAACUUGAAAUGGUAAUCUCUCUGGUUCCCUUUUCUCCACUGCCCUGUAGGUGAUUUGUCCCCUGGUGACUCAGAGGGCAUCCACGUUACCUGGAGAUGAGGUGGAAUUGUUAUGGCAGUAAUGCAAAUAGCAAGAAGAAACGUUUUAGACUUUCAGGCCCAUUUCUGAGAACCAAGUGGAAAUUCUGAAGAAAGCAGAACAUUGAAUCUGUGUCAUCAGAAUAGAAUUAAGGGUACAAGGGAGGAAAUAACUUCAUCCUUUAUAGUUGUCAAGAGGAGGAGCCAGAAUGGGGUGUGACCCUUCUGAGGAGACAGUUUUUCCAUGGCUCUUUCACUUUUUGUAAAAGCUUGUGACAGCUUUCAUUCUGGGCUGUCUUUUCGAGGAAAACAGAUACUGACUCCCUCUGGGGCAGGGGGGAAAUUUGUUUUCCGAUCAGUAUAAUAAAGAUAAUGUUUCUCUCUGGGGCAAAGGUUGAGCAUGUUUGCUAGUAGCCCCUUAUAAGAGUGGGGGUUUCCUGAGUUUGGGGAUCCUCAGCUGUGGCAUAAACCCACUGGUGCACGGCGUACACCUGGACCCAGCUCCAUGGCCCCAUGAUGCUCGAGAGACAAGGAGAACCAAGGUGAAUGUGAAACUCAUGCUGCAUGCUGCACCAAAACUGCUUAAAAAAAAUCACAACUGUCAUUGCUUUUUAAAACCAGACAUGAAAUACCUGAACCAAAUCUACAUGUUACCAGUGAUGAGUAUCUUCUAAACUAAGCAUUUAUUUCUAUGAGGAAAUAAAAUCAUUUUUCAGAUAAA